AUGCAAGCACUACUCGAGUUCAUAACAUUGGCAGACCUAACUCUGAACAUCGAGCUGGUGCAAGGCGUGGAUGGCGCGAUCGCAUGGAAAUGGGAAAGCACGGGCAGUUUCUCCGCCCGAUCGGCAUACCGUGCCCAUUUUGCGGGUAGAAUAGAGAAGGCUGGAGCCGUCCAGAUUUGGAGAUCGCGGGUGCCGCCGGCAUACAAGUUCUUCACGUGGCUAGCGACACGAAAUAGGUGUUGGAUAGCGGACAGGUUGCAGCGCCACCAAUUGCCGCACCCAUCGGCAUGUCCCUUCUGCGAUCAAGCCCCGAAGACUCUAGAUCAUCUGCUGCUCGGAUGUGUCUUUGCAAGGCAGAUAUGGGCCAAGAUCACAAACACAUAG
RNAcentral lists this ribosomal RNA (384 nucleotides) under Triticum aestivum (bread wheat). RNAcentral describes it as "partial small subunit ribosomal RNA". The record is from RNAcentral. Lineage: Eukaryota; Viridiplantae; Streptophyta; Magnoliopsida; Poales; Poaceae.